UGCUGGUGUUUUACUAAAACGUGAGCCACUCCAUCCCAUUUCGAACUGGAAAGUGAAAGCGUUUUAGCCCGAUGAUACUUUUUGCUUCGGCAAAUGGGAAAGUAGGGUAUGCCGGCAU
RNAcentral lists this ribosomal RNA (118 nucleotides) under Candidatus Wolfebacteria bacterium. Lineage: Bacteria; Candidatus Wolfeibacteriota. The record is from RNAcentral.